Unclassified non-coding RNA from Macaca fascicularis (crab-eating macaque), 148 nucleotides. It matches the Rfam family "Metazoan signal recognition particle RNA". Rfam says of the family: The signal recognition particle (SRP) is a universally conserved ribonucleoprotein. NCBI's taxonomy places the organism in Eukaryota, Metazoa, Chordata, Mammalia, Primates, Cercopithecidae. The record is from Ensembl.
GCCAGGCAUGGUAGCGCAUGCCUGUAGUCCCAGCUACUUUGGAGGCUGAGGUGGGAGGAUCAUUUUUGCCUGGGAGGUUGAGGCUGCAGUGAGCUGUGGUUGUGCCACUGUACUCCAGCCUAGGUGACAGAGUGAGACCCUGUCUCUC